This 121-nucleotide ribosomal RNA is filed under the name Sinocyclocheilus grahami. Lineage: Eukaryota; Metazoa; Chordata; Actinopteri; Cypriniformes; Cyprinidae. The record is from RNAcentral.
AAUUGUAGCCUAAGUCACUUAAUAGGCUAUUAUUAUAGGUUGCCCACUGAAGCUAAGCAGGUUUGAGCCUGGUCAGUACCUGGAUGGGAGACCUCCUGGGAAAACUAGGUUGCUGCUGGAA